Molecule: ribosomal RNA, 504 nt
Filed under: Paenibacillaceae bacterium CL5.51
Lineage: Bacteria; Bacillati; Bacillota; Bacilli; Caryophanales; Paenibacillaceae
Description: bacterial SSU rRNA
Rfam family: Bacterial small subunit ribosomal RNA
Source: RNAcentral
UUGAUCCCUGGCUCAGGACGAACGCUGGCGGCAUGCCUAAUACAUGCAAGUCGAGCGGCGUAAGAAUGGAAGCUUGCUUCCAUUCUUACUUAGCGGCGGACGGGUGAGUAACACGUAGGCAACCUGCCCUCAAGACUGGGAUAACUACCGGAAACGGUAGCUAAUACCGGAUAAUUUCUUUCCUCUCCUGAAGAGAGAAUGAAAGGCGGAGCAAUCUGCCACUUGGGGAUGGGCCUGCGGCGCAUUAGCUAGUUGGUGGGGUAACGGCUCACCAAGGCGACGAUGCGUAGCCGACCUGAGAGGGUGAACGGCCACACUGGGACUGAGACACGGCCCAGACUCCUACGGGAGGCAGCAGUAGGGAAUCUUCCGCAAUGGGCGAAAGCCUGACGGAGCAAUGCCGCGUGAGUGAUGAAGGUUUUCGGAUCGUAAAGCUCUGUUGCCAGGGAAGAACGUCCGGUAGAGUAACUGCUACCGGAGUGACGGUACCUGAGAAGAAAGCCC